AGAGCAGGUCAAAACUAAUGUUCUUUGUAAAGCAAUGUGCAUAUCUUGGUGCAAGUACUGUGACUCUGCAGCUUAGGCUGGUGAAAAGGUACGUGCCUAACUUUGCACAUUUUGUAGUUUUGUGGUUUGAAGCAAGGUUGCUUUUGCAUAAAAUAGAUUGUAUACAUGAGUCAUUGAUGAGUAGGCACUUGCUCACUGUUAGGUGAGAUCUGUGCUUCGGCUGCUCUUAUAUCUUUCAGUGAUAAGAUCCCACGGUACUGUUGCAACAGUAAUAGAAGUCUCACAGUCCCUUGAAAACACUCAGCAAAAGAGACAGCUGUAUUGACUCAGAGGACCUGAGGUCUGCCUGGAGCAUCCCACUUGAUAAGCAAUGAGAAGGUCCAGUGGCUGUGGCAAUAGUGGAGGACUGAGGACCAGCAGAGCCUGCAGACCAACUGCUGGAAACCAGGCACUGUCUAAGGUAUUUCACAUGGCUUUGAAAACUCAUGGAGGAUAGAAGAGACAGCAGAAGACUGAAUAAAUAACUCUUAGAAAAAUCGAUGGAAGAGUACCCAAGUAAUUUUAAUUAGGUAGCCUAACUUCCUGGAUUUCAGAAAAAAAUUACCAGUUUCUAAAUGAAAGGCGAUAAAAACUUGUUGACGUGCCUCUAUCAACAACAUGUGAUACCAAACCAAACUAAUGUCCUUCUUCUACAUAUUGCCUACUAGAUACAGAUGAAGCAGUAAAUAUUACUAUGUUCCCUGUUGAUACUUGUAAGUAACUGAACAAGUACAUCCUAGAUAAAAUCAUUAGAAGGUGAGGAUAGAGGAGGACAAAUGAUCAGCAAUACUACUUUUGAAAGGUAGUUGUGGGUUGCUGACAGUCAAUUUGAGAUGGCUUUUCAGGUAGGCUUUAGGAAUUUGGUGACUAUUUAAUGUGAUGGGAUGAUUUUUUUUUUUAUGCCAAGCUUUCUAUCGAAAUAGCAUAAAAUAAAAAGUGCUGUAAUUAUAGGUCAUGUACAAACAGAAGUGACGCAGCUUGUUUCAGGUGAUCAAGUCUUUGGUCAAAGGACAAGAGUGCCACUCUUUGUGCUGUAGAUUGCUACUAGUUUCUUUCCUGAGUCCUUUAAUAUGUCGUUAAAGUCCUCUGCCUGCCUUCUCCAAAGAGUCUCAGAGUUAAAACUUCGAUACUGUAAAAUAUACUACCCUGUUAUCACACUGGUAAUAAUAUUAUGUGUUAAGCCUGUGAAUGCAAGCUAAGUGUAUAUUCUAAACUACAGAUUUUGUUCUGGCAAAUGAGAAAAAUUGCAGGAUUUACUUGCAAAAGGUGUUUUGCCUAGUUUCUCCAUACUUGAUGUUAAUCUGCCCUUGCCAGCUAUUAAAGUAGAAAUUACUGCCACUGUAUUGCACAAAAGCAGAGAUUCUGCAAUUGUGAAUUUAAUGUAGUUUGGAACACUUUGUAGUCUUCAGAGUCAGACACAUUUUCCCCAUCGCCCAAAUUAUUUUAAAUUGCAAGUAAAGUUUUGCAAAACUGUUACCAUUAUUUUCUCAGUUCACCUAAGCUGCUUUUACAAGGCUGUUAUCUACGCGAAAUCACAACAUCUUUUAUUAAAAUAGUUAUAAGAGCAUUGAACCUGUCAGCUGUAAUUUGCAGCUUUUUCUCCUUUAGAUUCUGCGCUCUUGCUGAAAAAACAAAAAUCCACAGAAAACAAACCCCAGUAACCUAAGGUACAAUCCAUUUUUUUAACAUUUGCCCAAUGUGAAUUUCAGAGAAGAUACCUACAAAGUGUAUUUGAAGAGUAAAGAGCAGAACUGCCAAUGGGCAGCCUGAAAAAUGUCUGAUGAUUUUGUGACGCUCUGUGAUCAAGAGCAUCACAGCUAUAGGAUAAAGAGAAUAUUGUUGUCUUUGCAUCUUCUAUAUGUAAGAGUGCAUUUAAGCUGAAAUGAAGGCUAGAACCUGAGCCCAGAACUUCAGUCAAGAGGAAAGUGUCUUCUUUUUAGAUUUUUCUAUGACUUAGCCUACAGUUCUGCCUACAGAUCUCCAAAUCACUGCUAGAGAAGCAGAUGCAGUUGUUUAUGUGCAGGUGUGCUGUGUACCUGAUGUAAUCCUGCAAGUUCUACAUCCACAGAAUUUCUGCAGAAUUCUGAGUGAUGUCUGUGCUUGGAAGGCUUCCAAGUCAAGGUUCUCACAUCAGAAGAAUCUCAAUCAAAGCUUUUUCAAAAGCAAACAAACAAGCAAUCUUUCCGUAUUGCUGACAAUCUUCUCUGAGUCUCAGUUCCCCAAACCUCUCUCCUAUUAGUUACCAAUGUCUGUGACACAGAUCAUAUUUUGUUUUCAGAUGUUAAUGUAGCUUUUACUUCAUGAUCACAUUAAUUGCAUUUGUGCUGUGGAGAUUUUUAAUUCCAAAAGGUACUGCCAGCUUUUGUGUACUCAAUUUAUAUUUAAGAAGAGUUUCUGCUCUUCACAGUGACCUCUGCUGACUUUCAUAUAUUUAGAAUCUGAAGUUGUGAAUCUCCUUGAUUCAUCUUCUGUUAAAGAAUGUUGGCUAUGCAAAAACUGGCAGAGGGGUUAAGGAGGAUGAAAAAAACAGUAUUACAGAGAACCAGGAUACGGCAGGGUAUUCGUUCCCUGAAGGUAUGUUGCCACCAAGAGUAACAGCGAGAAUAAUGAUCACACAAAGAGAAAAAAGAGCACUGGAGAUCUAUGAAAUUUACUUGAUUUUGAAAAACUUAAUUGAGGAAGGACUUGGAGGUCUGCCAAUUCCUACUGAGCUCCUUACAAAAAGUGGGUUGGCACUGUGUGCAUGUGGCAUAUCAUCUGUCGGACAGAGUAAGACAGCCAUUCACCUGGCUCUGCUCUAGCUAUGCGCAGCUGGGAAUUUCACAUCAGAAAGGAGAGGAGGAUACACAAACUGCUUCCGAUGUUUCAGAGGAUGAGCAUGCUGAAAUGCAAAGCCCUGGGUGCUGGAGGUAGCUGUGAUGAGUUUACGGCACAGGAGCCACAGCUGGUAGGAAGGCACAUGAUCUCACCCUAAAAUGUUGUACUAUUUUAGUCUCUUUUUUACACACAUGGAAGAAUCAAACAGUUUGAGGAUGACAAAUUUGAGAAGCAAAAUGGAAAAGGAUCUGAUUGUUACGAGAGAAGAACUAAUGAGCUUUUAGUAGAUGAGUAGGAACAAGAUGAAGUGCCGCAAUACCCAGUGCAAGGUCACUGGGUAUUAUUAAAGGCAAAACACUAGAAUUUCUGCUCUAGACGCUUGGUGAUUAAGGAGUCCAUACAUGAACAAGUAGUUCUUGCUCCAGUCAUCAAACAGCCACACCAAAGAAUGAGUAAGAUGAAAGGCAAGGCUGCUGUGGAAUGUGGAGCUGAUGAGAUAGCCGCUGAGAACAGGUUGGAGGUGAAAUAGAUGAAUGACUUCAGUUGACUGCACCUUCUGUAAAAUGUAAAGAAGCAGAGAAGAGUAAGAACUUUUCAAUGAUUCUAAGAAAACAGAGCAAAAAAAGUUGAAACAAAAGAACCUGAGAAAUUGCUUGCAUGACACUGCAGUCUUAUGGGUUAUGCUGUCAGCAAAAAAAUUGUGAGUUUUCUGCAGGCUCAACAGGAAUGGCCAUGUGGCAGCAGCUAGCAGUAUGUGCAGUGCUGGAAGUGAUAGGAACCAAUUGGAACAGUGACUGGAAGCAGAAGUCUUCGGAAGAGCAUCAGCAUUCUGCAAUGUGGGGAGAAUCCCGACCUGCCUCUUUAUACCGGUGGUGUGUUUAUUGGACUGGGACAAGUAUCUCUCAUUAGACAAGAAUUCUGAGUUUUUCCCUUCUUUUGUGUCAAUAACAUGAGUAUGGGAGAAGGAAAGUAGGCUGCCCUGCAUCUGAAAGGGAAAGCAGUGAAGUCUGUGAUCUCUGUUUGCUUAAAUGAUAGUAAAAAAAAAAAAAAAAAAAAGCCAUUUUAGAGCUUCCUACUUCAGAACUUCCUUUUCUAAAUCUUGAAAGAAGCUGCUUACAAGAUCAAGCUGGAAGACUGAAUACUGGCAGAAUUUGAUAGGAAAUAAAUGUUCUUUGUCUUGUAGUAUAUAUUGUAUACAGUCUUGAUGUUGUCUUGUUGCCUGCACCAGAUUUCCUCCUCAGUUUACUUAAUAAUUAUUAUGUGAAUAAAA
Molecule: long non-coding RNA, 4126 nt
Organism: Centrocercus urophasianus (Greater sage-grouse)
Lineage: Eukaryota; Metazoa; Chordata; Aves; Galliformes; Phasianidae
Exons: 3
Source: RefSeq, a predicted model, not a curated record